UCCUUCCUGGGCCGGUACGGUCUCCACCCUAGCGCUGGGGUAAGGUGACGCCCGUCAGGCGGAUGAAUCCGGUGAGAUCCCGGAGCUGUCGCGCAACCGUGAUCCCGCGAGCCUCGCGGGGAGUCGGACCGCCGUCUGGCGUCAGGUUGA
This 150-nucleotide non-coding RNA is filed under the name Tessaracoccus flavescens. Lineage: Bacteria; Bacillati; Actinomycetota; Actinomycetes; Propionibacteriales; Propionibacteriaceae. The record is from RNAcentral.